Molecule: ribosomal RNA, 254 nt
Filed under: uncultured prokaryote
Description: partial 16S ribosomal RNA
Rfam family: Bacterial small subunit ribosomal RNA
Source: RNAcentral
UACGGAGGAUCCGAGCGUUAUCCGGAUUUAUUGGGUUUAAAGGGUGCGCAGGCGGGAGAUUAAGUCGGCGGUGAAAUUUUGCAGCUCAACUGUAAAAGUGCCGUUGAUACUGCCAGGCUAGGAUUUGGUUGCUGUGGGUGGAAUGUGUGGUGUAGCGGUGAAAUGCUUAGAUAUCACACAGAAUAUCGAUUGCGAAGGCAGCUCACAAAGCCAAGAUUGACGCUGAGGCACGAAAGUGUGGGGAUCAAACAGGA